This 205-nucleotide long non-coding RNA is filed under the name Homo sapiens (human). Its description in RNAcentral is "LNC_000635". Lineage: Eukaryota; Metazoa; Chordata; Mammalia; Primates; Hominidae. The record is from RNAcentral.
CUGAAGGCCACGUCUGCUCCUGUGGCUGGGUAUCCCCCGGGCUGGCUGGAAUAACCACCGCUUGUGUCAUCGAAGAGGGGAGGGGGAUCCGGGGCUGCCCGGGCCCUGUGCUUGGAGCCGUGGGCUCCGUAGCCCGAGUGAUAAGCCAUGGCCGCGACGCUCGCUGUCCCCGAGGGCCCGCUGCGCCGCCUCGUGGGUACGAAUA